CUUGACAAAAUAUAAGAGGUCCAGCCUGCCCAGUGACCUAUGUUCAACGGCCGCGGUAUCCUAACCGUGCGAAGGUAGCGUAAUCACUUGUUCUUUAAAUGGGGACUAGUAUGAAUGGCAUCACGAGGGUUAAACUGUCUCCUUUUUCUAAUCAGUGAAACUAAUCUUCCCGUGAAGAAGCGGGGAUUAUUUUAUAAGACGAGAAGACCCUAUGGAGCUUUAAACAAAUUUACACCUGCUUUAAUAUAUUUUACCUCCUGAAUACUCACACAAAUAAUAGCAUGACUGUUAAAUAGUUUUCGAUUGGGGUGAUCAUGGAGAAAAAAAUAACCUCCACGACGAUAAGGGAAUAUCCCUGAGCCAAAAGCCACAACUUUAAGCACUAAAAAAUUAACGCACUUUGACCCAAUUACUUGAGCAACGAAC
Molecule: ribosomal RNA, 426 nt
Filed under: Boana cf. fasciata ABGD cluster 49
Lineage: Eukaryota; Metazoa; Chordata; Amphibia; Anura; Hylidae
Description: partial large subunit ribosomal RNA
Rfam family: Bacterial large subunit ribosomal RNA
Source: RNAcentral